This 520-nucleotide ribosomal RNA is filed under the name uncultured bacterium. RNAcentral describes it as "bacterial SSU rRNA". It matches the Rfam family "Bacterial small subunit ribosomal RNA", at positions 8 to 502 of the family's 1533-position model. The record is from RNAcentral.
AGAGUUUGAUCCUGGCUCAGAACGAACGCUGGCGGCGUGCCUAACACAUGCAAGUCGAACGGAGUUACUACGAGAUUACUGCUUCGGUAGUAUGAUUGUUUUAACUUAGUGGCGCACGGGUGAGUAGCACGUGGGUAAUCUGCCCUCAGGUGGGGGACAACUACGGGAAACUGUAGCUGAUACCGCAUAAGGCCACGAACUGGAAUGUUAGUGGUAAAAGGAUUUAUUCGCCUGAAGAUGAGCCCGCGGCCUAUCAGGUAGUUGGUGGGGUAAAGGCCUACCAAGCCUAAGACGGGUAGUCGGUCUGAGAGGAUGAUCGGCCACACUGGAACUGAGACACGGUCCAGACUCCUACGGGAGGCAGCAGUGAGGAAUUUUGCGCAAUGGGGGAAACCCUGACGCAGCAACGCCGCGUGGGUGAAGAAGGCUUUCGGGUCGUAAAGCCCUGUCAGGUGGGAAGAACCGUUUCGAUACUAAUAAUGUCGAAGCCUGACGUACCACCAGAGAAGCACCGCCAACU